RNAcentral lists this ribosomal RNA (505 nucleotides) under uncultured bacterium. RNAcentral describes it as "bacterial SSU rRNA". It matches the Rfam family "Bacterial small subunit ribosomal RNA", at positions 17 to 518 of the family's 1533-position model. The record is from RNAcentral.
UUCUGGCUCAGGAUGAACGCUAGCGGCAGGCCUAACACAUGCAAGUCGCGGGGCAGCACGGGUAGCAAUACCUGGUGGCGACCGGCGCACGGGUGCGUAACGCGUAUGCAACCUGCCCCCAUCAGGGGAAUAGCCCGCGAAAGGCGGAUUAAUGCCCCAUAGGCCCAGGGCGCCGCAUGGCGCUAUGGGUAAAGCUCCGGCGGAUGGGGAUGGGCAUGCGUGCCAUUAGCUAGUUGGGGCGGUAACGGCGCACCAAGGCGACGAUGGCUAGGGGUCUGAGAGGAUGGUCCCCCACACUGGUACUGAGACACGGACCAGACUCCUACGGGAGGCAGCAGUGAGGAAUAUUGGUCAAUGGGCGGAAGCCUGAACCAGCCAUGCCCGCGUGCAGGAUGACGGCCCUAUGGGUUGUAAACUGCUUUUCCCCGGGAAGAAUAAGCCCCUCGUGAGGGGCGAUGCCGGUACCGGGGGAAUAAGGAUCGGCUAACUCCGUGCCAGCCGCUGC